GAUGAACGCUGGCGGCGUGCCUAAUACAUGCAAGUCGAGCGAACAGACGAGGAGCUUGCUCCUCUGACGUUAGCGGCGGACGGGUGAGUAACACGUGGAUAACCUACCUAUAAGAAUGGGAUAACUACGGGAAACCGGCGCUAAUACCGGAAAAUAUAUUGACCCGCAAGGUUCACUAGUGAAAGACGGUUUUGCUGUCACUUAUAGAUGGAUCCGCGCCGCAUCAGCUAGUUGGUAGGGUAACGGCUUACCCAGGCAGGGAUGCGUAGCCGACCUGAGCGGGUGAUCGGCCACACUGGAACUGAGACACGGCCCAGACUCCUACGGGAGGCAGCAGUAGGGAAUCUUCCGCGAUGGGCGAAUGCCUGACGGAGCACCGCCGCGUGAGUGAUGAAGGUCUUCGGCUCGUAAAGCUCUGUUAUUAGGGAAGAACAAAUGUGUAGGUAACUAUGCACGUCUUGACGGUACCUAAUCAGAAAGCCACGGCUAACUACGUG
RNAcentral lists this ribosomal RNA (497 nucleotides) under uncultured bacterium. RNAcentral describes it as "partial 16S ribosomal RNA". It matches the Rfam family "Bacterial small subunit ribosomal RNA", at positions 28 to 507 of the family's 1533-position model. The record is from RNAcentral.